GAGCACGUAGGGGGGUUUGUAAGUCAGAUGUGAAAGCCUUCUGUUCAACGGGAGAAUUGCAUCUGAAACUGCUAAUCUUGAGUAUAGGAUGGGAGAAUGGAACUUCUGGUGGAGCGGUGAAAUGCGUAGAUAUCAGAAGGAACGCCGGCGGCGAAAGCGAUUCUCUGGCCUAUUACUGACACUCAGUGUGCGAAAGCUAGGGAGCAAACGGGAUAGAUACCCCGUAGCAGCCU
Molecule: ribosomal RNA, 233 nt
Filed under: Candidatus Scalindua brodae
Lineage: Bacteria; Pseudomonadati; Planctomycetota; Candidatus Brocadiia; Candidatus Brocadiales; Candidatus Scalinduaceae
Description: partial 16S ribosomal RNA
Rfam family: Bacterial small subunit ribosomal RNA
Source: RNAcentral